This 456-nucleotide ribosomal RNA is filed under the name Triticum aestivum (bread wheat). RNAcentral describes it as "partial small subunit ribosomal RNA". Lineage: Eukaryota; Viridiplantae; Streptophyta; Magnoliopsida; Poales; Poaceae. The record is from RNAcentral.
AUGACCGCAUUUGGUCCAUCCCCGUCCGUUUGGUACCAAACGGAUAGAAAACGCGCCGACGCAAACGUUCACUUCGUCCGCGACCCAUUUCUGGCUCAAAUUUGGGCCGGGUUUGCGUCGGAACGGACAGGGCACGGACACGCGCGACGCCCACACUUGUCCUCCCCUGGCCCGUCCGUCAGGGGCACAACCUCCCCAUUUCCCUCUUCUUCUCCAAAUAACUUCCCGCCUCCCGCCAUGGCCACCGAGCCAAAGGACGCCGCCGCCGCCAUCCCGGACACCAUUGUCGUCCUCCCCUCGAAGAAGAAGAAGCCGAAGAAGGUGCUCACGCUGACGCCAAGAAAAAGAGGAGCAAAUGAAGGCCUACAUGGAGCUAAAAACGAAGAAGCUCGAGAUGGAGGAGGCCGUCAAAAGGAGGAAGCCGUCAAAACGAAGAAGCUCGAGAUCGAGUGUUGA